GAAAUGCGAUAAGUAAUGUGAAUUGCAGAAUUCAGUGAAUCAUCGAAUCUUUGAACGCACAUUGCGCUCGCCAGUAUUCUGGCGAGCAUGCCUGUUCGAGCGUCAUUUCAACCAUCAAGCUCUGCUUGCGUUGGGGAUCCGCGGCUGCCCGCGGUCCCUCAAAAACAGUGGCGGGCUCGCUAGUCACACCGAGCGUAGUAACUCUACAUCGCUAUGGUCGUGCGGCGGGUUCUUGCCGUAAAACCCCCAAUUUCUAGGUUGACCUCGGAUCAGGUAGGAAUACCCGCUGAACUUAAGC
Molecule: unclassified non-coding RNA, 298 nt
Filed under: plant metagenome
Description: partial contains 5.8S ribosomal RNA, internal transcribed spacer 2, and large subunit ribosomal RNA
Rfam family: 5.8S ribosomal RNA (bases 1-105)
Source: RNAcentral